Molecule: ribosomal RNA, 330 nt
Filed under: uncultured prokaryote
Description: partial 16S ribosomal RNA
Source: RNAcentral
CCCUAUGGGGUGCACCAGUUCAGGGUGAAAACGCCGACGGAGAUCAACGCCGCAAUAGACCAAACUGUUUUUCUAUCCAUCCAGCCAAAGGAUGUAAUUGUCUGCCCUAUGAAAUAGAUACAGCAGCUGUUUUUCAGAAUUUCCCUUAGAGUGGAUUCAUCGAUUUCCUCCCAACCAAGGGGGGGGCAUCCCAAAAUUGAGGCGCCGUUUAUUGAGAAUUGUUGGCAGCAGACUGAUUGCCAAUGGCCAUGAUCCAUGAAUGGUGGAAAAUGACUUGACCGCAACUGUUGCGGCAAAUGAACAUGAGCAGCCGGCUGACGCUGGGAGAGC